GCGGUGGCUAGAAAUUGAUGGAAACGGUGGGGGAAAAUACAUGAACUGGACUCUAACAAGACCUAACCAGCAAUAAGACCUCGACGAGGACACAAACUCAACACUGCGGACUCUGAAACUGAAAUAUGCAAAGGCUAUGACGUGGAAGGGUUGUAGGACAAGAAAACGAUAUGACACUGCACUUAUGGGACGAACACAAGAACACUCAAAACUAAGGCUAGAUGUGAACCUAAUGGUAUACCUAAAGCUUUGAUUCCCACAUGAUGAGAACAAGGGUGACCCGAUCUUCUAAAAGGUUCUGGUAACUCUCGAUUUGGUGGAGACGAGACACAAAUCGAUCCGGCUUCCGAACAACACGAUCCGAAACCCUGCAAAUUUUUUUAUUUUUUUGAUAUUUUUCUUUUAGUUAGAGCACCAAAGGAGUGACCAUAGAAAAUUUGAGCUUAAACCAGUGAAAGACAUGGCCUACGAAAAUUUCUGAAAAUUGUGAAAAAUGUGAAAAAAACAUCAUGAGGUGAAAACUCAAACUUCAGUUGUGAAUUUGGAGGUCCUAAAAUUUGCAAACCAGCCAAGGGAGGGGACAGACAGAUCCGAAAUUUUUUUCUGAUCGAUUUUGAUAUAUGGAACAUUGAAAUCGGAGCUCGUAUGCGAAAGUUAUGGCUAUUUUACGAACGGACUCCAAAUUAGAGGACAAAACGGUGCGAAAGUGGGCAAAAUUUACGGUGGUGGCUAGAAAUUGAUGGAAACGGUGGGGGAAAAUACAUGAACUGGACUCUAACAAGACCUAACCAGCAACAAGACCUCGACGAGGACACAAACUCAACACUGCGGACUCUAAAACUGAAAUAUGCAAAGGCUAUGGCGUGGAAGGGUUGUAGGACAGAAAAACGAUAUGACACUGGACUUAUGGGACGAACACAAGAACACUCGAAACUAAGGGUAGAUUUGAACCUAAUGGUAUAUCUAAAUCUUUGAUUUCCACAUGAUGAGAACAAGGGUGACCCGAUCUUCUGAAAGGUUCUGGUAACUCUUGAUUUGGUGGAGACGAGACACAAAUCGAUCCGGGUUCCGAACAACACGAUCCGAAACCCUACAAUUUUUUUAUUUUUUUGAUAUUUUUAUUUUAGUUAGAGCACCAAUGGAGUAACCACAGGAAAUUUGAGCUUAAACCAGUGAAAAACAUGGCCUA
RNAcentral lists this long non-coding RNA (1189 nucleotides) under Sorghum bicolor (sorghum). RNAcentral's name for it is "long non-coding RNA (SBIC_LNC012746)". The record is from RNAcentral. Lineage: Eukaryota; Viridiplantae; Streptophyta; Magnoliopsida; Poales; Poaceae.